GACGAACGCUGGCGGCGUGCCUAAUACAUGCAAGUAGAACGCAGUUGCGAACGGGUGAGUAACGCGUAGGUAACUGCCUCAAAGCGGGGGAUAACUAGUGGAAACGAUAGCUAAUACCGCAUACUGUGAGAUGGACCUGCGGUGUAUUAGGUAGUUGGUGAGGUAAAGGCUCAACAAGGCGACGAUACAUAGCCGACCUGGGAGGGUUGACGGCCACACUGGGGCCGGGACACGGCCCAGGCUCCUACGGGAGGCAAGAGUUGGGAAUCUUCGGGAAUGGGCGGAAAUCUGACCGGGCAACGCCGCGGGGGUGGAGAAAGGUUUCGGGUCGUAAAACCCUGUUGUUAGGGAAACGGUAACUAACCAGAAAGGGACGGCUAACUACGUGCCAGCAGCCGCGGUAAUAC
RNAcentral lists this ribosomal RNA (407 nucleotides) under uncultured bacterium. RNAcentral describes it as "partial 16S ribosomal RNA". It matches the Rfam family "Bacterial small subunit ribosomal RNA", at positions 28 to 526 of the family's 1533-position model. The record is from RNAcentral.